AGAGCGAACGCUGGCGGCAGGCCUAACACAUGCAAGUCGAACGGACUCUUCGGAGUUAGUGGCGGACGGGUGAGUAACACGUGGGAACGUGCCUUUAGGUUCGGAAUAGCUCCUGGAAACGGGUGGUAAUGCCGAAUGUGCCCUUCGGGGGAAAGAUUUAUCGCCUUUAGAGCGGCCCGCGUCUGAUUAGCUAGUUGGUGAGGUAAAGGCUCACCAAGGCUACGAUCAGUAGCUGGUCUGAGAGGAUGACCAGCCACAUUGGGACUGAGACACGGCCCAGACUCCUACGGGAGGCAGCAGUAGGGAAUAGUUGGACAAUGGGCGAAAGCCUGAUCCAGCAAUGCCGCGUGAGUGAUGAAGGCUUAGGGUUAGUAAGCUACUUUUACCGAGUAUGAUAAUGACAGUAUACGGAAGUAACGUAAGCCCCGGCUAACCGUCCGCCGCCGACGCGA
Molecule: ribosomal RNA, 452 nt
Filed under: uncultured soil bacterium
Lineage: Bacteria
Description: bacterial SSU rRNA
Rfam family: Bacterial small subunit ribosomal RNA
Source: RNAcentral